AGGUGGGAUCAUACCAACACUAAUGCACUAGAACCCAUCAGAACUCCGCAGUCAAGCGUGCUUGGGCAAGAGUAGUUCUAGGAUGCGUGACCUCCUAGGAAUUCCUCGUGUUGCACCUA
Molecule: non-coding RNA, 119 nt
Organism: Lupinus angustifolius (narrow-leaved blue lupine)
Lineage: Eukaryota; Viridiplantae; Streptophyta; Magnoliopsida; Fabales; Fabaceae
Source: Rfam